Molecule: long non-coding RNA, 655 nt
Organism: Oreochromis niloticus (Nile tilapia)
Lineage: Eukaryota; Metazoa; Chordata; Actinopteri; Cichliformes; Cichlidae
Exons: 3
Source: RefSeq, a predicted model, not a curated record
UCCAGCUGUAAAAGCAAGCAGCAGCAGCCAAAGCGGAUAUACAGCAGAAUUGCUAGAUGACCAGAUGCUGGGGGCAGAGGAAGAAUGUUCACUGCGGACCAAGAAACCCAUAUAGUCAAUAUGGUGAUUGGAAAUAAUUCCAUAAGGCUACGCGAAAUUCAGCAGCGCGUAACUGAGGAUGACACCACCUUCCAAAACAUACAAAAUGUGAGCAUUUCUGUAUUAGGUCGUGUACUUGCCCGCAACAGAAUCCGAAUGAAACAAAUCUACAGAGUACCUUUUGAAAGAAACAGUGAACGUGUAAAACAGCUGCGAUACGACUAUGUGCAGAGAGUGAUGGAGCUAGAGGCAGAUGGGUCAUGAGCAGUUUUUUGUGGCUGAGGCUGGUUUUCACCUCACUAAGACAAGGAGACGUGGCAGGAACAUUAUUGGGCACCGUGCCAUAAUCAAUGUCCCAGGACAACGUGGUGGUAACAUAACUAUGUUUGCAGCUAUAAGUCAAAAUGGUGUUGUUCACCAUCAUGCAGCCCUGGGCCCAUAUAACACUGCACACAUUAUUACAUUCCUGGACGCCUUACAUGACAUGCUCACUAAUGUUAAGAGAGAGCAGACCAGAUACGUCAUCAUAUGGGACAAUGUUAGUUUCCAUAGGGCU